AAAACUUUCAACAACGGAUCUCUUGGUUCCGGCAUCGAUGAAGAACGCAGCGAAAUGCGAUACGUAAUGUGAAUUGCAAAUUCAGUGAAUCAUCGAGUCUUUGAACGCACAUUGCGCCCCCUGGUAUUCCGGGGGGCAUGCCUGUCCGAGCGUCAUUGCUGCCCUCAAGCCCGGCUUGUGUGUUGGGCCCCGUCCCCCG
Molecule: ribosomal RNA, 199 nt
Filed under: Penicillium sp. IB34G1
Lineage: Eukaryota; Fungi; Ascomycota; Eurotiomycetes; Eurotiales; Aspergillaceae
Also listed under: 1 other name
Description: 5.8S ribosomal RNA
Rfam family: 5.8S ribosomal RNA (bases 3-155)
About the family: 5.8S ribosomal RNA (5.8S rRNA) is a component of the large subunit of the eukaryotic ribosome. It is transcribed by RNA polymerase I as part of the 45S precursor that also contains 18S and 28S rRNA. Functionally, it is thought that 5.8S rRNA may be involved in ribosome translocation.
Source: RNAcentral